UCUACGGGAGGCAGCAGUGAGGAAUUUUGCGCAAUGGGCGAAAGCCUGACGCAGCAACGCCGCGUGGGUGAUGAAGGCCUUUGGGUCGUAAAGCCCUGUCAAGUGGGAAGAACCCGCAUGGUGCGAAUAGUGCCGUGCGCUGACGGUACCACUGAAGGAAGCACCGGCUAACUCCGUGCCAGCAGCCGCGGUAAU
This 195-nucleotide ribosomal RNA is filed under the name uncultured bacterium. RNAcentral describes it as "partial 16S ribosomal RNA". It matches the Rfam family "Bacterial small subunit ribosomal RNA", at positions 338 to 524 of the family's 1533-position model. The record is from RNAcentral.